UUAAUAGUAAAAUCUGCUCAAUGAACAUUUCAAUAGCCGCAAUUCGUGCUAAGGUAGCAUAAUCAUUUGUCUUUUAAAUGAGGACUAGAACAAAAGAUCUAACAUCUUAAUCUUUUUUUUUUAAUUAAAUAUYCUAAUUUAUUUUAAAGGUUAAAAAACCUUUAUAAUAUAAAAAGACGACAAGACCCUAUUGAACUUUACUUUAGUUAAACUGGGGCAGUAAAUUAAUUAUUAUUUUAAUUUAUAUUUUUAUAUAAAAAGCCAUAUAAUUGAUAAAUCAGUUACCAUAGGGAUAACAGCGUAAUUUUAUUUUAAAGACCUUAUUAAAAAUAAAGAUUGCGACCUCGAUGUUGAAUUAAUAACCUAAUUAAAGCAAAAUUUAAAAUAGGAAGUCUGUUCGACUUUUAAAUAAUUACAUGAUUUGAGUUCAGACCGGUAUAAGCCAGGUCGGUUUCUAUCUUUUAUAAAUGUUUUUGUAGUACGAAAGGACCUAAUAAUUUAAUAUUAUUAUUAUAUUGGCAGAUUAAUGCAUUAGAAUUAGAAUCUAAUUAUCU
RNAcentral lists this ribosomal RNA (554 nucleotides) under Eris militaris. RNAcentral's name for it is "partial 16S ribosomal RNA". The stretch from base 168 to 466 matches the Rfam family "Bacterial large subunit ribosomal RNA", at positions 2071 to 2649 of the family's 2925-position model. The record is from RNAcentral. Lineage: Eukaryota; Metazoa; Arthropoda; Arachnida; Araneae; Salticidae.